This 926-nucleotide ribosomal RNA is filed under the name Bacillus sp. H4BS4_pA. RNAcentral describes it as "bacterial SSU rRNA". It matches the Rfam family "Bacterial small subunit ribosomal RNA", at positions 8 to 916 of the family's 1533-position model. The record is from RNAcentral. Lineage: Bacteria; Bacillati; Bacillota; Bacilli; Caryophanales; Bacillaceae.
AGAGUUUGAUCCUGGCUCAGGACGAACGCUGGCGGCGUGCCUAAUACAUGCAAGUCGAGCGAAUGAUAGGGAGCUUGCUCCCUUGAUUUAGCGGCGGACGGGUGAGUAACACGUGGGCAACCUACCUGUAAGACUGGGAUAACUUCGGGAAACCGGAGCUAAUACCGGAUAAUUUCUUUUCUCGCAUGAGAAGAGAUGGAAAGACGGUUUCGGCUGUCACUUACAGAUGGGCCCGCGGCGCAUUAGCUAGUUGGUGAGGUAAUGGCUCACCAAGGCCACGAUGCGUAGCCGACCUGAGAGGGUGAUCGGCCACACUGGGACUGAGACACGGCCCAGACUCCUACGGGAGGCAGCAGUAGGGAAUCUUCCGCAAUGGACGAAAGUCUGACGGAGCAACGCCGCGUGAACGAAGAAGGCCUUCGGGUCGUAAAGUUCUGUUGUUAGGGAAGAACAAGUACCAGAGUAACUGCUGGUACCUUGACGGUACCUAACCAGAAAGCCACGGCUAACUACGUGCCAGCAGCCGCGGUAAUACGUAGGUGGCAAGCGUUGUCCGGAAUUAUUGGGCGUAAAGCGCGCGCAGGUGGUUCCUUAAGUCUGAUGUGAAAGCCCACGGCUCAACCGUGGAGGGUCAUUGGAAACUGGGGAACUUGAGUGCAGAAGAGGAAAGUGGAAUUCCACGUGUAGCGGUGAAAUGCGUAGAGAUGUGGAGGAACACCAGUGGCGAAGGCGACUUUCUGGUCUGUAACUGACACUGAGGCGCGAAAGCGUGUGGAGCGAACAGGAUUAGAUACCCUGGUAGUCCACGCCGUAAACGAUGAGUGCUAAGUGUUAGAGGGUUUCCGCCCUUUAGUGCUGCAGCUAACGCAUUAAGCACUCCGCCUGGGGAGUACGGCCGCAAGGCUGAAACUCAAAGGAAUUGACGG